This 2854-nucleotide long non-coding RNA is filed under the name Cairina moschata (Muscovy duck). RNAcentral's name for it is "domestica (muscovy Duck (domestic type)) lncRNA (ENSCMMG00000010035.1)". The record is from RNAcentral. Lineage: Eukaryota; Metazoa; Chordata; Aves; Anseriformes; Anatidae.
CUCAGUCACUCUACUCUCUGUCAUCUGCAGGUGAAUUUUUUUUUUCUUUUUUUUUUUUUUUUUUCUUCUUCUGCCUUUUGUUCUGCUGGUAGAUAGAUGCGAGGGGCUGAUAGAGAGCAGGAGCUGAUCUCUCGCCCCGAUAGCCUGUUAUAUUUAUUAACUUCAAACAGGGGAGCGCGGGCACGGGGCUGAGGAGCGAGGCUCCUGGCAGCUGCGUGUGCGUGCGCUCACAGCGCCGGGUCCUCAGAUGGGGGAACUGAUAAGCCGCAGAUUGAUCUCGUGCUGCUGAUGUGCCUCUCGCCGGGUGCUGUUGUUUUAAUACAUACGUGUUGUGUUGGUUUUUUUAUUUUUAUUUUUUUUAUCCCCCCCCCUUCCUAAAUUAACUGGAAGCGAACAUUUUUGUAGUAGUUUGCAGGAGCCUGCCUGUGUUGGUUUUUUUUUUUUUCUUUUUCUUUUAUAUUUUUUUUUUCUUUUCCCUUUCUAUUCUGCUUUCAGCUAGAGUAGAUCUGAGCUCCCGAUAAGCGCGGAGGCCCGAUCUCCAUCCUGAUAAAGAUUGCCAGGGGAGAUAAGGGCCACUUAUCUCUCCCGACCAGACUGGAGCAGGAUUCGCUACAAUAACAAACACUGAAAAGAGGGGCAAAAGGGCUCCAACAAUUUGUUCCACUGCAAAUGUGAUUAAUGCAGGCGCUCUAAUUAUCUGAUGGGGGGCAGCUGCAUGUGUGUUUUCCUUUUGCAGGGUGUGUUUUUAUUCACCCCCCCCCACACACACGCUGGUGCUCCGAAACAAGGCUGGUGUAGAAGCCGAGCUCUCCUCAGCGCCUUUUAUCACCUACAGAUGUUGCAUUAGUUCGAGGGCUGACUUUCUUUUUCGAUCGCUAUCGCCCCGUCCUGCUCGGCGCAGCAAGCACACGGCGGUGGUUGGGUGUUGUCAUCCUGGUCACGAUGGGCUCGGCUUCCAGGGCCCGUGGGGAGAUGGAUGGGCGCUGCCCUGUGUGCCCGCCGCUCUUCCACCCCCAUGGAGACAUCCCCAAAGGGCUGCAGGGAGCCACGGGGAGCCCCUGCUGGGGCCGAGGGCUCUGGCUCCGGACUCGUGCAGUUGGGCAAGGUCUCUGUUUUCCCUUCGUGAAUCAAGGCCACCUAGCAAGCUGCAGCUUCCCCUUUCGCCGAGUUGCGAGGCGGCCAGCUCGGCGCUCGGGGCUGGGAAGGGAGCAGCGUUUUCCCCCAGGGGUGCUGCAGGUGGGCUCCCCGCACGGGGACAGCCCCGGGGACACCGUGUGAUGGUGGCAUCCCGAAGGAAUCACCGAGCCCUCGUCUGCCUCUGGUGCCUGCUGGUGAUGGGGACAUCCCCGGGGCAUCCCGCAGAGGAGCCGUGCUCCCAGCCCUGCGCCAUCCGUGGGGUCAGUGCCACCCCCAUCCGUGACAGCGACGAUGCUCCUGAGGUGCCCAAACUGGGAGCAGCGGGGUUGGCGAAGCCUGGGGAUGGAGCUGCCGUCUUUUUCGUGGUGUUGGUGGAUUUGGGGUCAAAUACGCCCUUUCUGAGCAAGGGAGGAGGAUGCUUGCCCUGCCCGCUGCUGUUCCCACUGCAGCCUCAGAAAACACAAGCUCUGGUGGUGCCGUGGAACAAAACCAGCCUGGAUUUUCCCAUGUGGUGAGAAGGGAAAGCCCAAAGGCACGGGUCAGGGCACUGCAGGGGGAUGGCAGGAGCAGAGAAACCUUCUGGCUUUCUGCAUUUGGGAAGAAAAAGUGAAAAAUGCCUCCGGCACCCAGCAGCAGCUCUUGCUGGCCAGCUCUGCGCAUCCUGCGGGCACCCAGGACCUUGGGUUUGAUCCCUAGGAGGGGGAAGAGGAGGCUCCCUCCCUCCCCGCGGAGAGGAGCGCGGAUGGAAGCAGAAGGCCAAGCUCUUUUAUUUUUUUCUGUGCCACGUCCCAUGACCGUUUUUGCUGCCUGACUCAGGACUUUUUUGGACGCUCCGGCUUGGCGAGGCCGAUGUCCUGCUUCGUGUUUUAUCAGAAAAGUUCAAGUGUUUCGGGGGUAAUAAAGUUCCCUCUUCCGAUUGCCAUGGCAGUGAAGGCUCCUCAUUGUUCCUGUAGCAACAUGUUUUUUUGGAAGGGAUGAAAUGCCGAAAGGAAUGCAACUGCUGACCUUGGGCCGCAGUAGGGUUAAGGAGUGUGUGCCUAUGAGUCACUCCAGAUAAGAGCCUUCCACGGCAUUUUCUUUUUUUUUUUUUUUUCCUCCAAAAUACUUCUUUAUCUCCCCUUUCUCACAUCGACAUAUUUUUCUUGACAUCUCCCAUUCAGCGGCGCGCGGAGGAAACGCGCCGCUGCGAUCUGUGCGGCUGAUGAGAGGUGGGCGCAUUGUCUUCCGACCCCUUCCGAGCGGGGUCGGCCGGCGAUUUCGGCGACGUGUGGGACGGGGACAGCGGCGCUGGCAUCCCCGCGGCACGUUUGGUGCCACCAGCACGCGGCGUGUGCCCAGUGCAGGGCGGCAUCACCCAGCCCCGGAGCUUUAUUUAAUUUUUUUUUCCGCUUUCGGUGCCUUCUCCACCGGGAAGUUCGGCCGCUCGCGCGCUGCUCCGUCUCCCAGGCGAGGCCUCUCGUGCUACUUGCAGCUCCUAUGAUAAUGCGGAAAGUUGAACUGGCCCCAUUACUGCGCUGCGAUGGUUGCCUCGAUAACGCCCCGAUAAUGGCAGCGAUAGCAGCGGCUCGGUAGCCAAUGGCUCUGCCGCUCCUCCCAUUAACAUUCCCCACCACGGCCCGGCUCGGAGCUGCCUAUCUGCUCUCCAUUUCCACUCCUCCGCUAGAUAAGAAUGGAAAUACUGACUUCAUAGCUCACUGAUUAAAGUGUCUGGAUUUCU